This 460-nucleotide ribosomal RNA is filed under the name uncultured bacterium. Its description in RNAcentral is "partial 16S ribosomal RNA". It matches the Rfam family "Bacterial small subunit ribosomal RNA", at positions 338 to 795 of the family's 1533-position model. The record is from RNAcentral.
CCUACGGGAGGCAGCAGUGAGGAAUAUUGGUCAAUGGACGAGAGUCUGAACCAGCCAAGUAGCGUGAAGGAUUGCUGCCCUAUGGGUUGUAAACUUCUUUUAUAUGGGAGUAAAACAGGGUAUGCAUACCCUCUUGUAUGUACCAUAUGAAUUAGGAUCGGCUAACUCCGUGCCAGCAGCCGCGGUAAUACGGAGGAUCCGAGCGUUAUCCGGAUGUAUUGGGUGUAAGGGGGGCGUAGGUGGAUUGGUAAGUCAGUUGUGAAAGGUUGCGGCUCAACCGUAAGAUGGCAGUUGAAACUGGCAGUCUUGAGUACAGGAGAGGUAGGCGGAAUUCGCGGUGUAGCGGUGAAAUGCUUAGAUAUCACGCAGAACUCUGAUUGCGAAGGCAGCUUACUAAACUAUAACUGACACUGAAGCACGAAGGCGUGGGGAUCAAACAGGAUUAGAUACCCCGGUAGUC